UGUAUGGUUAAGUGACUAAGCGUACACGGUGGAUGCCUGGGCAGUCAGAGGCGAUGAAGGACGUACUAACUUGCGAUAAGCGCAGAUAAGGCAGUAAGAGCCGUUUGAGUCUGCGAUUUCCGAAUGGGGAAACCCAACUGCAUAAGCAGUUACUGUUAACUGAAUACAUAGGUUAACAGAGCAAACCGGGGGAACUGAAACAUCUAAGUACCCCGAGGAGAAGAAAUCAACCGAGAUUCCGGUAGUAGCGGCGAGCGAACCUGGAUUAGCCCUUAAGCACUCGGUGAAGUAGGUGAACAAGCUGGAAAGCUUGGCGAUACAGGGUGAUAGCCCCGUAACCGACGCUUCAUCGAGCGUGAAAUC
RNAcentral lists this ribosomal RNA (363 nucleotides) under Vibrio cholerae. Its description in RNAcentral is "partial 23S ribosomal RNA". It matches the Rfam family "Bacterial large subunit ribosomal RNA", at positions 1 to 409 of the family's 2925-position model. The record is from RNAcentral. Lineage: Bacteria; Pseudomonadati; Pseudomonadota; Gammaproteobacteria; Vibrionales; Vibrionaceae.